UUUUCUGUUUCUUGUAUGCUACUUGUCCUUGCUUUCACCCUCUGUAGACUUCUUUUUUACGUUUGAGCUUGUCCAGGAGCUCUUUGUUCAUCUAUGCAGGC
Tyto alba (common barn owl) is the source of this 101-nucleotide long non-coding RNA. RefSeq lists it as uncharacterized. The transcript has 3 exons. The record is from RefSeq and is a predicted model, not a curated record. NCBI's taxonomy places the organism in Eukaryota, Metazoa, Chordata, Aves, Strigiformes, Tytonidae.